AUUGAACGCUGGCGGCAGGCCUAACACAUGCAAGUCGAGCGGCGGCGGACGGGUGAGUAAUGCCUAGGAAUCUGCCUGGUAGUGGGGGAUAACUACUGGAAACGGUAGCUAAUACCGCAUACCAUCGGAUGUGCCCAGAUGGGAUUAGCUAGUAGGUGGGGUAACGGCUCACCUAGGCGACGAUCCCUAGCUGGUCUGAGAGGAUGACCAGCCACACUGGAACUGAGACACGGUCCAGACUCCUACGGGAGGCAGCAGUGGGGAAUAUUGCACAAUGGGCGCAAGCCUGAUGCAGCCAUGCCGCGUGUAUGAAGAAGGCCUUCGGGUUGUAAAGUACUUUCAGCGGGGAGGCGUUACCCGCAGAAGAAGCACCGGCUAACUCCGUGCCAGCAGCCGCGGUAAUAC
RNAcentral lists this ribosomal RNA (405 nucleotides) under uncultured bacterium. Its description in RNAcentral is "partial 16S ribosomal RNA". It matches the Rfam family "Bacterial small subunit ribosomal RNA", at positions 30 to 526 of the family's 1533-position model. The record is from RNAcentral.